This 500-nucleotide ribosomal RNA is filed under the name uncultured bacterium. RNAcentral's name for it is "partial 16S ribosomal RNA". It matches the Rfam family "Bacterial small subunit ribosomal RNA", at positions 30 to 523 of the family's 1533-position model. The record is from RNAcentral.
AUUGAACGCUGGCGGCAUGCCUUACACAUGCAAGUCGAACGGCAGCACGGGAGCAAUCCUGGUGGCGAGUGGCGAACGGGUGAGUAAAGUAUCGGAACGUGCCCAGUCGUGGGGGAUAACGUAGCGAAAGUUACGCUAAUACCGCAUACGAUCUAUGGAUGAAAGCGGGGGAUCGCAAGACCUCGCGCGAUUGGAGCGGCCGAUAUCAGAUUAGGUAGUUGGUGGGGUAAAGGCUCACCAAGCCGACGAUCUGUAGCUGGUCUAAGAGGACGAGCAGCCACACUGGGACUGAGACACGGCCCAGACUCCUACGGGAGGCAGCAGUGGGGAAGUUUGGACAAUGGGCGAAAGCCUGAUCCAGCCAUGCCGCGUGCAGGGUGAAGGCCUUCGGGUUGUAAACUGCUUUUGUACGGAACGAAAAGGUUUGGCCUAAUAAGCUGAGCUCAUGACGGUACCGUAAGAAUAAGCACCGGCUAACUACGUGCCAGCCGCCGCGGUAA